RNAcentral lists this long non-coding RNA (5917 nucleotides) under Solanum lycopersicum (tomato). RNAcentral's name for it is "long non-coding RNA (SLYC_LNC001082)". The record is from RNAcentral. Lineage: Eukaryota; Viridiplantae; Streptophyta; Magnoliopsida; Solanales; Solanaceae.
UUAAACAGUGUUGCUGGGAUUCACGAACUAGUUUGGAUUUCUAACUUUGUUUCCUUCUUCUUCCUAUACCCGUCGACAUUCAAUUUACUAGAGGUAGCGGCUGUUGACAAGCCCAAGAUGCAUCUUUGGGAAACUGGGAUUAUGAGGAUUACCAGGCAUCCACAGGUAAAUGCUCAAUUAUCACUUAAAUGUAACCUACCGUUGUAGAAGAUACAGUCUGAAUGAUUUUAUAAUGUGCCUUGUCCCGAAACACCAAUGCGUACCUUUACUUUCAAAUCUCUUUCCAAAUUAAAUUUCAACGUUUGAUUCAAAUCACUUCGCUUUGUACCUCGUAUUACAUUUUAAUUCCAGGAUAUGACACUUGGGAGGGUAGGAUGUACGUACGCUGACCUUACUCCUACCUUUGUGGGGUAGAGAGGUUGUCUCCGAUAGACUCUCAGGUCAAAAGAAGUGUAAUCAAAGCAGAUAAGAUAGGAAGAAAAAUAAUGACAACAAAAUACUGAGAUAUACAGAGCAAAUGAGGCAACAGGUGUUAGAAAAAGUUGAAGAAUAAGUACUAUUAAAGGAGAAGAUGAGAAGAGGAGACUAGCCCCCUUCCUUUCCCACAUAAAAGAACGACGACACUCGGGUAUCUCAUACCCUUCUACCCUAAACUGACCAUAUACCCUCCUACCUAGGAUUAUGUCUUCAGCAAGCUGAAGAUUAGACCCCCGGUUCUUCUAUUUUCCAGGAUAUGACGCAAGUACUAUGACAGAGGAGGUUUAGAGUCAUGAUUUCUAAUCAUUAUUUCUGUAGGGUUCAGGAAUUCUUCUUUUUUAGGUUUUUCGUGUAUUUCAGUCAGAUACUCAAAAUUAUAAAUCACUUUUGAUUCUUAGAACCAAGAAGUGGAUUUAUCGGUCAAUGGUUUUCUCUGAAGGAGUUGAAUAAGGCAUGUCACAAAGAAUGAUAUCUCAAGAAAUGACGGGCAGAGGUUGAUGCAGAACGAGUCUGUACAUGAAAUGAGGUGAAGGUUAUUGUAAUCCCAGUUCUGCUAAUAAUACAUAAAAGGGAAGAAACCUACCAAAUUGAUAAAGCUGUUCCAUAAUUGAGGAUUUUAGUAAAGAGAAAUCAUCUCAAGUCCUGAAAAUCGAGAAAAUAAGUGUCUUUGUGCAUAUAUGUUACACGACAGUCCAGUAUUCUUGCUUCUAUUUGCUGUCUCAUUUCUUAGUAUAAGUUAUUCCGUCUUUGAUAGCUAAUUGAAGCCUCCAUUCCCUAUAUUAGCUGGUCGGGCAGGUUAUAUGGUGCUUAGCUCACACGCUGUGGAUUGGGAAUUCAGUUGCAGUGGCAGCUUCAGUAGGUUUGAUAGGACAUCAUCUGUUUGGUGCCUGGAAUGGGGACCGGAGGUUAGCCAUACGAUAUGGUGAGGCUUUUGAAGUCGUGAAGAACAGAACGAGUAUCAUUCCAUUUGCAGCCAUUCUUGAUGGUCGUCAAAAGUUGCCUGAAGAUUAUUACAAGGAAUUUAUCAGAUUGCCAUAUUUAUCGAUAACAACAUUGACAUUAGGUGCUUACUUCCUCCACCCCAUUAUGCAAGCUGCCAGUUAUCGGCUACACUGGUAGUAGUACUGAUGUUACAUAACUCGUUUCCAUACAAGAUAUCGCGAUUACGAGUUGUAUAUUUUUCCUCAAUAUAUAUAGGUUACUGAUGUCUAUUUAACUACUGUUGGAUAACAAAGAAAGAAAGAAGAGGAAUAGAGAGAAUUCAGUUUAAUGUGUUUGAAAGUAAAGUUCCAACUUGUAUUUCCCUUCAAUUUCUAUAUAGUGUAUAUCAUGACAUAUAUGUCCUUGUUAUUCCAAUAUAUAUAUAUAUAUGGUACCAAAGUUUUCGAGUUUGAGUUAUGUUAAUGAAUUAUUAUUUUUUAUAAAACGCGAUUUAUCUCUUUAGAUGAACCUCAUGGUGUAAAUUUUGUUUAUUUCAUUUAGCGGCUUCAAGUACCAAAUAAUUAACUAACGGCAUUAUGUCUGAAUAAAUGAUUCAUCAAAAUAACGAGUUAUCAUUAACAUUGAGACAUUUGAAAUCGCCAAAUACGUAAAAGUUUCUCAAAUUUGAUUCAUCUAAUGAACUUCAAAUAUCAAGUAAUUUAAAAAAUGAUGCAAAUAUCAAUAAUUUUAUGGUCAGACAAGGCCUACCUAAAAGGAGCAAGUCAGCUUGGACCAAAUCCAAAAAUGAAAAAAAAAAACAGAUUUUUUUUUUUUUUUUUUUAUAAAUUAAACACUAUUCCACUUCUGGUGUUGAGGAAUUAUCAAAUAAAAGUACACCAAAUUCUUUUGACUUUUUUUUACUUUUUGUGAUAAUGAAGAAAUACAUGUGGCCAAUUUGAAUGAUAUUUUAUAUUUAAAUUCCCUUUGGAUUUACUCUUCCUCAUGCAAUGUGAUUGGAAGAGUAGGGAAUGAGUAGGUUCACUUAAGAAUGCUACACUUAAACCAAUCUGAAUAAAUUUUUCACUCGAUAUUUAAUACUAAUCUUAAAGUCUUAUUAAAUUUAAAUUCGUAUCGAAAAAUUUCACAUUAAAUAAUAAGACAUUUCCCAAUAAGAUAACUUCAUGUCCACGAUUCGAACUCAAAAUCCUAAUUAUUAUCCACAUACAUAUACUUCUAGGAACCUUUUUAACGUGGCAUACAUACAUCACUCACUUAAAAAGAACAUACAAGUUAUAUGUCACUAUAAAUAAAUUAUUACAUAACGAUAACUAUUUCAUCAUUCUUAAUCAGAAAAAAAUUAUAUUCACGCUUUUGGUAUAAAAUCGGUUUUGAUAAGUAACGCUUUACCCCUACAAAGUGAAACUGUAUAUUGAUCGAAGUCCAAAAUAAAUAUCGAAAAAUAAUACAACCGUGUAUAAAACUAUGUAAACCCCCACCCCUCCACAUACACACAAACACUUCAUGGGGGUGGAGGAUUUGGUUAGUGUGCUUUUGUUUUUAUUUCAUAAAAAUUGGACUAACAUUGGGUUGAGUUGCACAGUUUAACCAACUAUAUUAUAUCCACUUUAUUAAGUUUCUAACCCACUCCAUCAUUUUUAAUAUUUCUAAUUUAAUGCCACAUUGCCACCAACCUACUUUAAUAUUGGGUAUGUCUUACAUUUUCUAUAACUAAAAUCAUACUAACUUCUUAUUUAAGCCAAUUGCUUAACACAUCUCAUUAUUAUUAUUAUAACUCUUCUUUCUAUUUAUAUAAAUCUUUGUGAUUUAUAUGCUAUUAUAAUUCACUAUUGAUUUCAUAUUUCAUAUGCUAAUUGGAAGAAAUAUGAAGGAAAAAUCAGUAGAGAAAUUUUUCAUGUUGCCAUUCUAUUUAGGGUGUAAUUCUGAGUCAAGUGUUGGAGUGACAAACCAACUUGUGGAAACAAAGAAUUCAUCACAAAUAACAAGUAUGUCUUUCUCCCCUUUUAUAACCCCCCCCCCCCCCCUUACUCCUAUCUCGUCAAAACUUAGUAUCUUCUGUUCAAACUUAUAUACAUAAAAAAUGUUAUUUCGAAUGUGCCUCACAGUCAUAGGCUAGACUUAGAAUUUAAUCUUACGAGUUCUGAAUAAAAGAACAAUAACGACCUUUUAAGUGUUAGUGUGUGGUUCUUAGUCAAGUACCUUUUUGUAUAUGUUUGUGAUUUUUUCUCUUUUUGUAAUAUUGCUUCUUUAAUUUUUGUGUAUAUGGCUUAUUGAAGAAAGACAAGAAGGAGAAGAGAGCUCAUCAAAUGUAAAAAUAAAGAGCUUUUGGGGAUUUUGGGCCAUCACAAGACCUAGAUUUUCACAUAAUGUCCAAAGAUUAAAAAGGCAUUUCAAAGGUUUCUCACAAUUAUUUGGUAAGCAAUUAUACAUAUUAGCUAUCUUAUUCUAUAUGUCAAAUAUACAAACGGUUCAUUAAAGUUGUGAAUUUUUAUUUCGACAUUUUAACUGAAGUUUUUGCUGAUAAGUCACUUGAUAUACGAUCGACAUGUGCCUAUUGAACACUAGAGAUAGUAGUGCAUUUUACAUCAAUAGUAUGGAUUCAACAUCCAAUUGUAUAUAACCUUCAUAGUGUCACAUUGAGAUGUUCAAUAAACAUACAUUAGAUCUAUUAUAAGUUAUUUAUCUAUUAACUAAUUAAAAAUUCUAACUCACAACCUAAUUUUAUUUUUUUUUGUAGCGCGUAAAGAAGAGGUAGAGGUCGAGGAAGCGGAGAUAGAAAUAGGAUAUCCAACAGAUGUGAAACAUUUAACCCAUAUAGGAUGGGAUGGAUCAACAACAAUAAAUCCAAUCAAAGGAUGGGAAAAUUUAAAUCCUCCUGAAAUUAUUUCUUUUCCAUCAAUUUCUAUUAAACAAUUUGAACUUGCUAUGGCUGCUCAAGCUGGUGAAUCUAUACAUGUUAAUAAUUGUGCUUGAUUUUUUUUGAUAAAAAAUAAAAAUAUUAUUUGUAAUUUUUCUCUUGUUUCUUGUUCUAUUAAAUUCUAUAAUCAAUUUUUAUAGCUUUUUCUACUUUUGUUGACUAUGCAAAAUUAAGUGAUAUUUGAAUUUAGAUUAAAUUCGAAUUUACAUUAAAAAAAAUCUCAUUCACUAUCGAAAAUGACCCAUGAAGGCUAACAAAAAAUGACUAUAUAGAGUUGUUUUUUUAAAAAUGACUCUAUACCGAGUAACUUCGCUAAUAAAAAUGACUCAUAUGAUGAUUUCCUUAAUACAAAUAACUCUAUAUGGUUUCGUUAAAUGACUCCUCGUUAAUAAAAAUGACUCAAAUGAUUUUCUUAAUACAAAUAACUCUAUAUGGCUUCGUCAAAUGAUUCCUCGUUAAUAAAAAUGACUCUAACCCUGAAUAACUUCGUUAAUAAAAGUGACUCAUAGGAUGAUAUCCUUGUUACAAAUAACUCUAUAUGGUUUCGUUAAGUGACUCAUCGUUUUAUCUUAAUACAAAUAACUCUAUAUGAUUUCGUUAAGUGACUCCUCAUUAAUAAAAAUGACUCUAUAUAGCUUUGUUAAUAAAAAUGACUCCGUAUUGAACACAAAUUUUAUUAAAAAAAGUGACUCAUAUGAUGAUUUCCUCAAUACAAAUAACUCUAUAUGGUUUCGUUCUCUCUCAUUAAUAAAAAUGACUCCAUAUAGCUUCGUUAAUAAAAAUGACUCCGUAAUAAACACAAAAUUCAUUAACAAAAGUGACUCAUGAUGAUUUCCUCAAUACAAAUAACUCUAUAUGGACUCCUCUCUCGUUAAUAAAAAUGACUCCACAUAGCUUCGUUAAUAAAAAUGACUUCAUAUAGCUUCGUUAAUAAAAAUGACUCCGUAUUGAACACAAAAUUCAUUAACAAAAGUGACUCAUAUGAUGAUUUCCUCAAUACAAAUAACUCUAUGGUUUUAUUAAAUGACUCCUCAUUAAUAAAAAUAACUCCAUAUAGCUCCAUUAAUUAAAAAAAACUCUGUAUUGAACACAAUAUUCAUUAAUAAAAGUGACUUCGUAUAACAAUUGUAUAGCAACAACUAAUAAAAGUAACUCCAUAAAAAUCCAAACUUCAAAAGAAAAAAAAAACUUAAAUUUCAAAAUCUUUAAGAUAAUUAAUGCAUAUAAAUGGAGUUCAAUCAAAUUCUUCACCUAUAUUAAAAGAAGAUAGAAAUAUUUUUGUAUAUAUACGAUUGUAGGCACCAUAGCGAGCCAAAAGUUGAUUGAGAAACAAAACAAUGGCUUUCUGAGAUGCCUAACCCCUUUUGGGGGGUUUUGGUAUUAGAUCUUCUUAUAAACCAUAGUAUAAACAGCAAUUUCCAAUACAUAUUUUCAUGAAAAAUUUACCUCAAAAAACACAAUUUUUGAGAUUUCCAUAAUGCAUCGGCCAAAACGCUGCUUGAAGACGAUCUGACAAAUUAGGGUUUUGCACUUUCCGUUAUUUAUAGAGAAAGAUUGAAUAAUUGGGCUUAAUCCAACUUGAAA